CCUUCUCUCUCUCCCGCUUUCUAUAAAGCUUCUCCAGAACUCGCUUGGCCUCACAAUUUGGAAAGUUGUCUAGAUCAUAGUAGUGUGGUGCUAUGUCUACUAGCCAUUCACCACGAAUAUCUGUCACCGUACGGAUAAAAUUCCGGCUCGUUAGGACAUACUCAUUGUAAAUAACCCACUCUGGCUUGUGAUCCAGACAAUUUGAAGGAUGUAAAUGCACCACUUGGUUGUCUUUCACCGUCAGGUAGUGCCCAGUGCGUUCCAGGUGAGC
This 271-nucleotide unclassified non-coding RNA is filed under the name Hevea brasiliensis (rubber tree). The record is from RNAcentral. Lineage: Eukaryota; Viridiplantae; Streptophyta; Magnoliopsida; Malpighiales; Euphorbiaceae.